CAGUCGCCGCGGUAAUACAGAGGGUGCGAGCGUUAAUCGGAUUUACUGGGCGUAAAGCGUGCGUAGGCGGCUUCUUAAGUCGGAUGUGAAAUCCCUGAGCUUAACUUAGGAAUUGCAUUCGAUACUGGGAAGCUAGAGUAUGGGAGAGGAUGGUAGAAUUCCAGGUGUAGCGGUGAAAUGCGUAGAGAUCUGGAGGAAUACCGAUGGCGAAGGCAGCCAUCUGGCCUAAUACUGACGCUGAGGUACGAAAGCAUGGGGAGCAAACAGGAUUAGAUACCCCAGUAGUCCCUGUCUCUUAUAA
This 301-nucleotide ribosomal RNA is filed under the name uncultured bacterium. RNAcentral's name for it is "partial 16S ribosomal RNA". It matches the Rfam family "Bacterial small subunit ribosomal RNA", at positions 509 to 809 of the family's 1533-position model. The record is from RNAcentral.